Molecule: ribosomal RNA, 218 nt
Filed under: uncultured Lactobacillus sp.
Lineage: Bacteria; Bacillati; Bacillota; Bacilli; Lactobacillales; Lactobacillaceae
Description: partial 16S ribosomal RNA
Rfam family: Bacterial small subunit ribosomal RNA
Source: RNAcentral
UAACACCUGGAAACAGAUGCUAAUACCGGAUAACAACAGAUGAUGCCUAUCAACUGUUUAAAAGAUGGUUCUGCUAUCACUCUUGGAUGGACCUGCGGUGCAUUAGCUAGUUGGUAGGGUAACGGCCUACCAAGGCGAUGAUGCAUAGCCGAGUUGAGAGACUGAUCGGCCACAUUGGGACUGAGACACGGCCCAAACUCCUACGGGAGGCAGCAGAG